GCCCUUUUUGACCUAUGAAACAGCACAUACCGUGUGAUUCAUUUUGAAAUUGUAUUUAUUAUUUGCACAGAAAAGAGUCUGGAAGGGUCUGCUCUUAAGUGUUCACAAACGGUUGCUUUGAGGGGGAGUGAGAUUUGGGGUUUUGGUUUGUUUGGGUUUUUUGCUGGUGUUCGCUUUCUGUAAUAAAAAUAACUGAUUCUGUAUAGGAAACAGGUUAUUUUAAUUGUUUAAAUACAUCACAGUAACAAGUGAAGCGGCAUAUAAGGUGUUUACCACUUCUCAGCUUUUCAAUAAGUAACAUUUAAUCGAUUUACCAAGGGCCAACAAAAGUUCAGUGAGGUUAUAUCCUUUUCUUAGCUUUCCAGUCGUUUUGAAUGCUGAAAAACAGCAAUACAGUACCCACGACCCUCUCAGGAAUAUGCCGCAGGCUCUUUAGCAACCACACGCGACCAGAGUACUCCGGGCCCCAGGAAGACACCGAGCGACCGGCAGGCAUCUACUUCCGGGGGUCCUAGGCCUUUCAACCCGGAAGCGAAUGGGGAAUGGCGCGUGGCGUUCUGGGAAGAGUUAUGAAGGCGGGGCUGGCGUCUCUGUUACCAAGGUGACCGGAGGCGCUCGAAGGUUGCGGGUGGUUUGGAACCGUUAGGAGAAGCUAAGAUGCUCAAUUAGAGAUCAUUUGGGAUGAGAGAAAGGGGCUUCAGAACCCUCCUGAAAGGAGAUUGUCCUGUCGGGAGGUUAUUCAGUGGUGCCCCGCGGCGGGAGCCCCGGCGCUGGGGAUGGGGAUUAUCCCUUGCUCUGCCUUGAGUCCUGUGGCCAAGUAAAAUGCGGCCCAGUAACGCUUUGUCGAUUUCUUCAUGCCCUUUUCCAGUUUUCUGCCUCCUCUUAGAAAAUCAACAAAGAAGGCAUUGGGAACUUUAAUGAAACCCUGUUUGCAGUAAACUGAAGAGAAAGAUGAAGUGGACACAGCAUGUGAAGACAAUUCUUUCAAGAAAUUUGGCUAUAAAGGAAAAGAGAGAAAGGUGUUAAAGACCUGUAAGCAUGGAGCAGAACAAGGACCGCCUUUACUACCACAUGGCGGCUUGUCAAAAGUUGAAGCUAAUGAAGCCACUGGAAGACAGAGACCAAAUCUUGACGACAUUGUUUGAACCCAGGGAUCCAGGCAUGCCUAAAGGCUAGCUUUACCAAUGGACUUUUCAGUUAAAUGAGCCAGUAACUGUCUCUCUUAUGCUUAAGCUUGAGUUUAACCUGAAUUUUUGCCCUUUACUACUCAAAACAAGGAGCCCUGAUGCACAGCGAUUAAGAGCUCAGGUCAGUGGUUCAAACCCAUAAGCCGCUCCUUGAGAGAAAAAUGUGGUAGUUGGCUGCGUUAAAGAUUACAGCCUUGGAAACCCUAUGGGGCAGUUCUACUCUGUUCUGUAGGGUCGCCAUGAGUUGGAAUCAACUAGACGACAACAACACUACUGAAAACAUCCUAAUAAAGUUAUACAUUGUUAAAUCAACAUUAUUUCUCUUUCUUCUUUACCAUAUUUUGAAUUUGUUACUGUAUAUACUCUAUAAUUUAUUCUAGUUUUCAC
This is a long non-coding RNA of Loxodonta africana (African savanna elephant), 1574 nucleotides long. RefSeq lists it as uncharacterized. Lineage: Eukaryota; Metazoa; Chordata; Mammalia; Proboscidea; Elephantidae. The transcript is spliced from 3 exons. The record is from RefSeq and is a predicted model, not a curated record.